UUAAUAGCACAUAUAUAUGUUAUAUCAAUAAAUGUUAAUUAGUAUAAAUAUGUGAUAAAUGAUAUUUUAAUUUGUUUAAAGCACUCACAUAAGUAAACAUUCAUCCAGAAAAUUCUCUCUGCUUCAUUUCUUCUAGUUCGUCCUAUGUGGCGUAUCUAUAUUCGAACCUCUUUUCUGCCAUGAAAAUCCUGUACAUAUGAUGACAAUAAUGUUAUUAAUUAAGAUUUAAAUUUCAACUUGUUAAAAUAAAAAUUUGUAAGCUAAUUUAUUUACCUCUCAUAUUGAAGAACAUCUUCGCAGUUGGUGAGCAAAUUUGUUUGCAAAUUACUGUGCUCCUGCUCAGUAAGUCGACGGUCCUUUGGUUUUCCGCUAAGUCGUCCAACGUCUGUGAAAUGUCUGGAACCGUAACAUGAUAUGUUGCCCGUUCGCCUCUAUC
This 436-nucleotide long non-coding RNA is filed under the name Brassica napus (rape). RNAcentral's name for it is "long non-coding RNA (BNAP_LNC010178)". The record is from RNAcentral. Lineage: Eukaryota; Viridiplantae; Streptophyta; Magnoliopsida; Brassicales; Brassicaceae.